Molecule: ribosomal RNA, 301 nt
Filed under: uncultured bacterium
Lineage: Bacteria
Description: partial 16S ribosomal RNA
Rfam family: Bacterial small subunit ribosomal RNA
Source: RNAcentral
CAGCAGCCGCGGGAAUACGAAGGGGGCUAGCGUUGCUCGGAAUGACUGGGCGUAAAGGGCGCGUAGGCGGCGGCCAAAGUCAGGCGUGAAAUUCCCGGGCUCAACCUGGGGGCUGCGUUUGAUACUUGGUUGCUUGAGUGGGGAAGAGGGUCGUGGAAUUCCCAGUGUAGAGGUGAAACUCGUAGAUAUUGGGAAGAACACCGGUGGCGAAGGCGGCGACCUGGUCCUUUACUGACGCUGAGGCGCGAAAGCGUGGGGAGCAAACAGGAUUAGAUACCCCCGUAGUCCCUGUCUCUUAUCC